AUCCAUGUAAAUUAAAAAAUUAAAUACCGGGUCUUGUAAAUCGGAAAAGGAAUAAUUUCCCCAGACC
RNAcentral lists this transfer RNA (67 nucleotides) under Balanus trigonus. Its description in RNAcentral is "tRNA-Thr". Lineage: Eukaryota; Metazoa; Arthropoda; Thecostraca; Balanomorpha; Balanidae. The record is from RNAcentral.